AGGGUAAAAAUAUAACCUAAUACAAUUUUAUCAUUUCAAUCCGACUAAAAACUGGAAUCAAUAUUUUAUAGAUUUUCAGUCCGAUUCUCCAUAAAUGAGCUAUUAGUCCUUAAUAUUUUAUAAAUACUUAAGGAUAGUUUUCAUAACCUUCCAAAUCUUUAUGAAAAAUAGAGAUGACAAUCAAAGUUUUAUUCCCUAUAAUAUAGGGAUGUCAUUUUCAAUUAAGAAAAUUUUAUCUACAAACAAUACAAAGAAUAAUAUUAUAG
This 266-nucleotide long non-coding RNA is filed under the name Elaeis guineensis (African oil palm). RNAcentral describes it as "long non-coding RNA (EGUI_LNC034240)". Lineage: Eukaryota; Viridiplantae; Streptophyta; Magnoliopsida; Arecales; Arecaceae. The record is from RNAcentral.